This 301-nucleotide ribosomal RNA is filed under the name uncultured bacterium. RNAcentral describes it as "partial 16S ribosomal RNA". It matches the Rfam family "Bacterial small subunit ribosomal RNA", at positions 509 to 807 of the family's 1533-position model. The record is from RNAcentral.
CAGCAGCCACGGUAAUACAGAGGGUGCAAGCGUUAAUCGGAAUUACUGGGCGUAAAGCGCGCGUAGGUGGUUCGCCAAGUUGGAUGUGAAAUCCCCGGGCUCAACCUGGGAACUGCAUCCAAAACUGGCGAGCUAGAGUAUGGUAGAGGGUGGUGGAAUUUCCUGUGUAGCGGUGAAAUGCGUAGAUAUAGGAAGGAACAUCAGUGGCGAAGGCGACCACCUGGACUGAUACUGACACUGAGGUGCGAAAGCGUGGGGAGCAAACAGGAUUAGAUACCCCCGUAGUCCCUGUCUCUUAUAC